This 497-nucleotide ribosomal RNA is filed under the name uncultured bacterium. RNAcentral describes it as "partial 16S ribosomal RNA". It matches the Rfam family "Bacterial small subunit ribosomal RNA", at positions 28 to 507 of the family's 1533-position model. The record is from RNAcentral.
GAUGAACGCUGGCGGCGUGCUUAACACAUGCAAGUCGAGCGGACGGACGAGAACCGUGCUUCUCUGAUGUCAGAGGGGGACGGGAGAGUAACAUGUGCAUCACCUAACUCUGAGACAAGGAUAGCAUACUGAAACUGAUGCCGAUUACGGAUGCACUUUUGAACCGCAUGGUUCAAAAGUGUACGACGGAUUUGCUGUCACCUACAGAUGGAGCCGUGCUGCAUUAGCUGGUUGGUCAGGUAACGGCUUAACAGGGGGACUAUGGGUAGCCGACCUGAGAGGGUGGUCGGCGGCACUAGAGGUUAGACACGGUCCAGGCUCCUACGGUAGGCAGCAGUAGGGAAUGUGCCGCAAUGGGCGAGAGCCUGACGGAGCAGCGCCGCGUGUGUGAUGGAGGUCUUCGGAUCGUAAAACUCGGUUAUUGGUUGAGAACAUAUGUGUAAGGAGCUGAGCACAUCUUGACGGUACCUAGUCAAAAAGCCACGGCUAACUACGUU